RNAcentral lists this small RNA (475 nucleotides) under Oryza sativa Japonica Group (Japanese rice). Its description in RNAcentral is "sRNA Os01g0925350". Lineage: Eukaryota; Viridiplantae; Streptophyta; Magnoliopsida; Poales; Poaceae. The record is from RNAcentral.
AGGGCGUCACGGCUUAGAUCUGGAGAUGCACUGCGAAACCUGCCAUCCUUGUCCUCCAACAAGUUGCCCAGGCCUGCUCCCAGAUCGCCGAUAUCGGCUGCCAUCCUUGGCUCAUCCCAUGCCACCGGCUUUCUACCCAUCUCAAUGUCACCGACGGCUCUCCCCAUGUUUGGACUCAUGAAACCAUUGGUUGGGCGAGGCCUCAGACCUUGCUCCUGUGGAACUGGGACUCUGGCGCGGAAGUUGUUCUUGGAGGCAGGAAUUGCAGAGAAGAAUAUAUCUUUAAUGUUCUCCAUGACUCCCCUGUUGUAUGGGUUGGCCCGUUGAUCAUACCGAUACCUGAAGUUCUCAUAUGUUGUCUACAGAAGCAGAGGAAAAGGUAAACAAUUAACUGAAUACAUACACCAUGCAAGACUAGGAAUAUAUGCUUGCAGUUUCAGGAAACAGUAUUUACCUGGUUGGUGCUCAUGAGAUA